CCUACGGGAGGCAGCAGUGAGGAAUAUUGGUCAAUGGCCGUAAGGCUGAACCAGCCAAGUAGCGUGAGGGCAGACUGCCCUCUGGGUUGUAAACCUCUUUUAUGCGGGGUUAAAGGUGUCCACGUGUGGAUGUUUGCAUGUACUUUAUGAAUACGGAUCGGCUAACUCCGUGCCAGCAGCCGCGGAUAUACGGAGGAUCCGAGCGUUAUCCGGUUUUAGUGGGUUUAAAGGGAGCGUAGGUGGGUUGUUAAGUCAGUUGUGAAAGGUUGCGGCUCAACCGGAAAAGUGCAAUUGAUACUGGCAGUCUUGAGUACAGUUGAGGUAGGCGGAAUUCGAGGUGUAGCAGUGAAAUGCUGAGAUAUCACGAAGAACCCCGAUUGCGAAGGCAGCUUACUAACCUGGGACUGACAUUGAUGCUCGAAAGUGUGGGUAUCAAACAGGAUUAGAUACCCGAGUAGUC
Molecule: ribosomal RNA, 460 nt
Filed under: uncultured bacterium
Lineage: Bacteria
Description: partial 16S ribosomal RNA
Rfam family: Bacterial small subunit ribosomal RNA
Source: RNAcentral